Molecule: long non-coding RNA, 2970 nt
Organism: Mobula hypostoma (lesser devil ray)
Lineage: Eukaryota; Metazoa; Chordata; Chondrichthyes; Myliobatiformes; Myliobatidae
Exons: 4
Source: RefSeq, a predicted model, not a curated record
AUUAAUGCAAGUCCUGACUCUCCUGUACCUUUGCUGCUACCAUCUGGAAGGUGGUACAUGAGCCUCAGGACAAACACCACCAGAUUCAGAAACAGUUAUCACCCCUCAACCAUCAGGGUCCUGGACCAGAGAGAGUAACUUUACUCAACUUCACUUGCCCCAUCAUUGAAAUGUUUCCACAACCUAAGGACUCAUUUUCAAGGACUUCACCUCAUGUACUUGAUAUUUAUUGCUUAUUUAUUAUCAUCUUUUUGUAUUUGCACAGUCCGUUGUCCUUUGCACACUGGUUGAACGCACAGUUGGUGCAGCCAACUGAUUCUAUUAUGGUUAUUAUUUCAUUAUGGAUUUAUUGAGCAUGCCCCCAAGAAAAUGAAUCUCAGGGUUAUAUAUGGUGACAUAUAUGUACUUUGAUAAUAAAUUUACCUUGAACUUUAAAAUACUAUUUAUCACAGACUAUCAAUAACACAUUGUCUUGUUGGCAGUUUGUGAUAGAAAAAUAAUUUAACAAUGAGAGAUGCUGAAGUUUUGAGAGUUCAAGCUUUAAGCUGUUUCAAGUUGUUCUUUAGGAAAACUCACUCAAAAGGAGAGGGAGGGACCUUUACUACUGAUCUCUAGAGACGCAUGGAAAUGAGGUACAUCCUUAAAAGCCAAUUAAGUCAUCUAAAAUUUAGAAGCAUUUUAGAAUCCCUACACAAGGGAUUAUGUAGCUCUAUUCCCACCCCCAAAAGAUCACAUAAUUUUAAAUUUCUGUCCAAUUAAAAUUUUCAACAUGAUUCCUUUACUUCCCCAUAUUUUGUACAUCAAUAAAACAAAAUGGGUAUAUCAACCCAAGAAUCUAUUAUCUAAGAUCUACAUUUGAUUCUACAGUAAAAUUGACAAACAUUAUUUGAUUACACAACUCAAAUCUUCACUUAGCCCUCAAUAAAAUAAGAACACUCAGAGCAAUAAACCAACCACACAUGCCACUUCACGCCUCAUACAGAUUUAAUGCCAGCAUAAGAUUAAAAUCUCUGUUUCUUUUAACGAUUUCUAAACGUUCUCAGAUUUACAUUCUUUCCCACAACCACCUCCAGGCUCAAAACAAUUGAACCUGCAUAUUGAUGAAGGUUUACUGAUGUCAUGCACAGGUUAAUGGGAGACAACAGAAUGCAAGCUCUUUUGUACUUAACAGACCGCAGUUUCAAAAAAUCAACUUUUAAAUAAAACACGGUGAAAAUCUGCGGUGACACCAUUUAAAAGAUUGCAUCUGCUGUGAAUUCAGAGAACCAUGGAAUUAAUCAUGGAGAAACUGGACGCAUCAAGUAAUCAACAAAACAAAUUAAGAGAUCAAAAAGUCACAAAGGAAAUGGAACAAGACAUAGAAUUCACAAAAGUGUAUAAUAAUGAAGAUGGAAGAGCUAUUGUUUCAGGGGAAGGAAAGCAGAAACUUAACAGGCCAAGAUGGCAUGCUUAAACCACAUACUUCCUCCACGGUCUAGCUGCAAAACAUUACAGCUAAUUUCAGUUCCUAACAUCCAUUUGUCAUAGAAAGUGUGUGCAUCAUUCGUGCCAUGAAAUACAUUCCAACCAUAGCACUGUAGAACUGCACCUUGGAAUAAGCUACAUCUCAAGCCAGGUUGUUCCUGUACAGCAAAAACACUGGCAUUUACCCAAGCAUUUGUAGAAUUGCCUGUUCACAAAAAGCAGAACAAUUGAAUCCAGCAAAUCAAUCUACUCCCCAUCAGCAGCAAAGUAAUGGAACCUAUCAUUGACAUUGCUAUCAAACAACAUUUACUCACCAUUAACCAACUACCAAUGUCUAGUUUGGAUUUCAUCAGGAUUAGUCAGGUCCAGACUCCAGACAUCACCACAGUCUUAGUCCAACCAUGGACCACAGCUGAAUUCUAAAGGUGGGAUGCCAGCAAUUGCUCUUGACACCAAUGGAACUGGUGAUUAAGUGCAGAAGUCAAAGUCAAAGUAAAUUUAUUAUCAAAGUAUGUCUAUGUCACUAUAUACUUACUACCUUAAGAUUCAUUUUCUCACAUGAACAUAGAGAAAGACAAUGGAAUUGCUGAUAAAUUAUAAAUAACAAAGACUGGCAAACAGCCAACAUACAAAAGAAGACAAAUCAUGCAAAUAAUUUGAAAAAGUAAAUAAAUAAUACUACGAACACGAGUUGCAGAGACCUUGAAAGUGAAUGUAUAGGUUGUGGAGUCAGUUCAGCAUCAAGCGUAUCCCCCUCCUCUUCCCUCCCGAGAAUCGCCCCCUGUUGACCAUGGUAUCAAUCACAAAGACUCUUGUUCAGCAGCCGGCUCUCCAUCCAUCGCCGAGAAGGUCAGAGGGAUUUCACCGAAUUCACUCCCGGACUUUUUGACCGAUCACUGGGGGAAAUAAACGAAAACCAAGAAAUAAUGAGCACCUCGAUAGCCGGGUUCCGUGAGCGCGCAUGUUUUAAGAGGCGGGAGGAGAGAGAAGCAGCGCGCCGCGCGUGUGCAGCCCUCCGGUGAAAAAUGAUAUCGACUCCGUUAAAUAGGGGCCGUGGACAAUUCUGAUUUGAUGGAGAUGGACGUGAAAGCACAGGGGAACAUCUGGAAAAAUUUCUGUAACACUCGUUCGCUGCUGUCGUUACUGCGCGGUCCGGAAUCUUUCGGAGGGUAGGCCUCAAAAUCCCCGGCUUUACCUGCUGUUGGCAACUGAGAUGGAGGUCGAAUCAUUCAGAUAGAAAUGGCGCUCAGUACUCAGUGUCGGAGGGCUGAUCAGAGCUUGAAGUUUUCGGAUGACUCAGAGUCGGACCGUGGUCGGGUGUGGCAGGGAGAGUUUUUCUUCCUUCUCCCGUCUGCGUGAGAUGUGGGACAUUUGAGAGACUUUGAACUUUUACUGUGCUCAUGGACUUCUUCAUCAAGUUAUGGUAUUGUUGCACUGUUGUAACUAUAUGUUAUAAUUAUGUGGUUUUGUUAGUUUUUUUCAAUCUUGGUCUGUCCUGUGUUUUGU